RNAcentral lists this ribosomal RNA (372 nucleotides) under uncultured organism. RNAcentral describes it as "bacterial SSU rRNA". It matches the Rfam family "Bacterial small subunit ribosomal RNA", at positions 526 to 896 of the family's 1533-position model. The record is from RNAcentral.
CGGAGGGGGCAAGCGUUGUUCGGAAUUACUGGGCGUAAAGGGCGCGUAGGCGGCCCGCUAAGUCGAACGUGAAAUCCCCGAGCUCAACUCGGGAACUGCGUCCGAUACUGGCGGGCUUGAAUCCGGGAGAGGGAUGCGGAAUUCCAGGUGUAGCGGUGAAAUGCGUUGAUAUCUGGAGGAACACCGGUGGCGAAGGCGGCAUCCUGGACCGGCAUUGACGCUGAGGCGCGAAAGCUAGGGGAGCAAACGGGAUUAGAUACCCCGGUAGUCCUAGCCCUAAACGAUGAAUGCUUGGUGUGGCGGGUAUCGAUCCCUGCCGUGCCGAAGCUAACGCAUUAAGCAUUCCGCCUGGGGAGUACGGUCGCAAGGCUG